GCACGGCUGCAGAUGUGCUGUAAACAAUGCAACUAGUGGAGGCGGCAAAGUGCUCAGUGUUGCCAGAUUGGAAAUGGUGAAGUAUCGUACCAAAGGCUCAAAAUGGUCGUAUUUGGAGGAUAAUUAUCGUGUAUCUGGCAACAUUGAGAUCGGUCGACCAAUGACUGUUCUCUCUACAGUCAGAGCUCGCGAAAGAAGGUGGAACGUAAGGGAGACACCAUUUCCAAAACUUGUAAGGGCGUAAUAACCAGUUUGUGAAAGACCCAGAGAAGGAUUUUUUAGGUCUCAAAAAGAGGACAUGUCCGGGGAAAAGAGGACGUUUGGUCACCCUAAUUAAACAGUCUGAUAACUGUCCUCGCAGCAGCUAACGAUAGCUCACCGCUUGUGUACCUACAGCAGCUAGCUAGCCAUCUACCUUCUAUUCGUAUUUAUUUUUCUACACAAUAGAAAAGCGAUGUGCUCUCGUGCCUCAUGCAGCUCUUCUGUGUUGCACGUCAAUACUUUGAGACAAACGAGGAGCGUCAAUCUAACGUAAAUGCUUUUCAAUAAAUGUCUUUAGUUCCUGCACAAUGAACAUGAAUCUCAAAUUAAAUGAUUAAUAUUCCCCAAAUUCCAAUUAACUACACUUCCGCUGUUACAGAGGGGAAACACUGUAAUCAUACUGUAAACUUUCAAAAGUUCAUAUAUUGUGCAUAGUUUGAAGUGAAAAAAAACUUUUCUUCAAUUGUGUUUGGGUUCAGGCUCUGUUUAGGAUCGGUAUCGGAAAAACCCAAACGAUACUCAUCCGUACCAGACAUGAGUCUGCACGCUCAACGUGAAGCUACAGCCAGCCGCUGGUUAGCUUAGCAUGGAGACUGGAGACAAGAGGGCUCGAAAGGGAUGUUUAGAAAUCCGCAUUCAACAGUUUACAAAUUUCCGACUUGAUGAAACAAUGGACAAAAAUUGUUCUUUAUUUAUUCUUAAAGUGUUUGCCUUUAAGAUCAAGAUGGGGUCAUAGAAAAAAACAAGUAGAGCAAAGUGUUUUAUGCACCAUGUUAAGUGGAUGAGCUUCAUCAAUACAAAUACACCGUCCACACACACACAUUUUCUCUAAUGGCUCAUUUGCAUAAUGUGGAUACCUUCACUGUAACCAUAGAGACGUUACAUCAUGAUGGAACAUUUCUCCAUGUUCCAUGUUCCAUGUUCUAUGCUCCGUUCACCACAGCAUAAGAAACACAGUCUGUUGCACAUCCAGUCAGUCAGUUUCAAACCUCGCAUCUACACACUGUUUUCCGGACCUACACUUGCAGAAAGCAACCAUGUAAUGCCUCAGGAGUCUGUAGAGGGGACGAAGACGCGUUCUGCUGCACUCAACAGAGCUCAAGACCAACGGGACGCCAUCAGGACGCCACGCCAUCAGGACGCCACGUCAACGGGACGCCAUCAGGACGUCACGUCAACCCCUCAGGAGCAAAUCCAGAUCUACUCAUGACACACACACACACACACACACCCACACACACACACACAACACACACACACACUAAAUGUACACACAGACACACUAACAUUUGGUUCUAAACAAAGACACACACUAAUAUUUAGAUGUACACAAAGACACAAUAACCAUUAGAUGUACACACAGACACACUUAACAAUUAGAUCUACACACAGACACACUAACAAUUACAUGUACACACAGACACACUAUCAUUUGGUUCUAAACAAAGACACACACUAAUAUGUAGAUGUACACAAAGACACAAUAACAUUUAGAUGUACACACAGACACACUAACAAUUAGAUCUACACACAGACACACUAACAAUUACAUAUACACACAGACACACUAACAUUUGGUUCUAAACAAAGACAUAAACUAAUAUUUUUGAUGUACAGGAAGACAUAUUAAUAUUUAGAUCUACACACAGACACACUAACAAUUAGAUGUACACACAGACACAUCCUGAUGAUCCUCCUCACGUCUCUUCUCCUUGUCUGCAGACCAACGGGACGCCAUCAGGACGCCAUCAGGACGCCACGUCAUCGGGACGCCAUCAGGAUGCCAUCAGGACGCCACGUCAACCCCUCAGGAGCAAAUCCAGAUCUACUCAUGACACACACCCACACCCACACACACACACACACACACACACACACACACACACAGAUGUACACACAGACACACUAACAUUUGGUUCUAAACAAAGACACACACUAAUAUUUAGAUGUACACACAGGAACACUAACAAUUACAUGUACACACAGACACACUAACAUUUGGUUCUAAACAAAGACACACACUAAUAUUUUGAUGUACACAAAGACACAUUCAUAUUUAGAUGUACACACAGGCACACUAACAAUUACAUGAACACACAGACACACUAACAUUUGGUUCCAAACAAAGACACACACUAACAUUUAGAUGUACACAAAGACACACACUAAUAUUUUGAUGUACACGAAGACAUAUUAAUAUUUAGAUCUACACACAGACACACUAACAAUUAGAUGUACACACAGACACAUCCUGAUGAUCCUCCUCACGUCUCUUCUCCUUGUCUGCAGACCAACGGGACGCCAUCAGGACGCCAUCAGGACGCCACGUCAUCGGGACGCUACGUCAUCAGGAUGCCAUCAGGACGCCACGUCAACCCCUACACAUUAAGAUGAACUGCUUCAGGUGUUUUCCCAAUGAUUGUGUUAUUAUUAUUGUUAAUCAUGUCGUCUGUUUAUUAUUUUAACAAUGAAAAUAAAUUUUGAUUAAAAAAAAACCAAAUGA
Long non-coding RNA from Gasterosteus aculeatus aculeatus (three-spined stickleback), 2764 nucleotides. NCBI's taxonomy places the organism in Eukaryota, Metazoa, Chordata, Actinopteri, Perciformes, Gasterosteidae. The record is from Ensembl.